Molecule: long non-coding RNA, 952 nt
Organism: Eufriesea mexicana
Lineage: Eukaryota; Metazoa; Arthropoda; Insecta; Hymenoptera; Apidae
Exons: 3
Source: RefSeq, a predicted model, not a curated record
GCCACUGCUGCGUUCGGAUUGGAGCCGCUUUCGAGCUUCACCUUUUCCUAACCGUACUCUCGUAAUUAAAAGCGUUUCUGGUGUACGGAUGGAGGAAAUUUCUCGAUGAAUGUUCGACGUAUUUCGCGUGUGGUGAAAUUUUAGUGGACGCGAACGAUUUACACGCUGGCUGAGGAAACCAAUUGCAAGUUAUCUUGUGUUUAAGAGAGGCCGAUUUCUCGUGUUCUAACGAGUUUCACUGUGCCAUAUACGACGUAAAGAGAUGGGUUAGGCGUUUGUAGAAUACAUUAUAACGCAUUGGCGUCGAAGUGUCAAAUGUUUGCCACAUUUUAGGAAUAUUCUGAUAGUACAUAUACGUGAGUAAAUUCAUGGAACCUGUCGUGGUAGCCAUCUUGUUAAUAAUGCAUCUACCUGUAUUCAAAAGCAAUACAGUUUAGUAGGCAUAACCAUACUUAGCAGUCCGGAACAAGAAGACACUUCGUGCGUUAUGACGUCAUCGCGAAUGCCUGUGGUGACUAUAGAUGUCGCCAUUAUGUCUGCAUAUCCCAACAGCAUGACUAAUUAUGACGUAAUAUGUAUAAAUGUACGUAAAAAUGGAUCUGUGUUAUGGAGAACUUGUACGUGUGGUUAUAAGAAAUAAUUAUUCGACGAUAUUCAUGAUAUUAUACUAGAUGACAUUUUAUAUACGUCAUCACCUGUGGUAUGUGGAGAGCGAGUUUCAUGCGAGAAUCUUCAUUCAUACAAUCAGUUUAAGUGGCGCAUAAAGUACCAAGCGAAAAUGAAAGGGUAACAAUGUAAAGAGACUUCAGCUAGCCUGUUAUUAAGAUUGAUAUACCUUUUGUCUCGGUAAAAAUUAAUCACUGAUAUUAAGUUGUCACUGAACUAUAAUCGAGAUCAAAUGUUUUGACCCUAGAGAUCACCAUGAAGAUCUUGCUAUUUGGCAUCUGUCAUA